This 162-nucleotide ribosomal RNA is filed under the name Eucalyptus jucunda. RNAcentral's name for it is "5.8S ribosomal RNA". It matches the Rfam family "5.8S ribosomal RNA". From Rfam's summary of the family: 5.8S ribosomal RNA (5.8S rRNA) is a component of the large subunit of the eukaryotic ribosome. The record is from RNAcentral. RNAcentral also lists the same sequence under 1 other name. Lineage: Eukaryota; Viridiplantae; Streptophyta; Magnoliopsida; Myrtales; Myrtaceae.
AUAACGACUCUCGGCAACGGAUAUCUCGGCUCUCGCAUCGAUGAAGAACGUAGCGAACUGCGAUACUUGGUGUGAAUUGCAGAAUCCCGUGAACCAUCGAGUCUUUGAACGCAAGUUGCGCCCGAAGCCUUCGGGUGAGGGCACGUUUGCCUGGGUGUCACA